GGCGGUUCUCAGGUGACACACCCUGGAAUUGGGCUCCCUCUUCUCUGGUUCCAGGUGUGUCACCUGAGAACUGCA
Non-coding RNA from Myotis lucifugus (little brown bat), 75 nucleotides. The record is from Rfam. Lineage: Eukaryota; Metazoa; Chordata; Mammalia; Chiroptera; Vespertilionidae.